RNAcentral lists this long non-coding RNA (248 nucleotides) under Mytilus galloprovincialis (Mediterranean mussel). Lineage: Eukaryota; Metazoa; Mollusca; Bivalvia; Mytilida; Mytilidae. The record is from RNAcentral.
GUUUUUAGUUGAGAUUAGUUUAAACGAGUAGACCUUUGAUUAUUUAUUAUAUUUUUGUUGUUUCUGUGCUUCGUGAGUUUGAAAUAUACUCAAGUUUCUGGGCUUUUAGCAUUAUUGUUUAGCUGAUUUUGAUAAAACUCAUUGUUUGUAAAUUUAAUAGCUUACUACGUUUGCCUUUUCCUUAAAUAAUUUUUGAACCAUUUAAUAGUUUUGAUUAUAAAAUCAAAUAUAUUGUUGAAUCAAUUUAA